UACGGGAGGCAGCAGUGGGGAAUAUUGCACAAUGGGCGAAAGCCUGAUGCAGCUAUGCCGCGUGUAUGAAGAAGGCCUUAGGGUUGUAAAGUACUUUCAUCGGGGAGGAAAAAACAAAACUAAUAAUUUUAUUUCUUGACGUUACCCGAAAAAGAAGCACCGGCUAACUCCGUGCCAGCAGCCGCGGUAAUACGGAGGGUGCUAGCGUUAAUCAGAAUUACUGGGCGUAAAGAGCACGUAGGUGGUUUUUUAAGUCAGAUGUGAAAUCCCUGGGCUUAACCUAGGAACUGCAUUUUGAAACUGAAAUACUAGAGUAUCGUAGAGGGAGGUAGAAUUCUAGGUGUAGCGGUGAAAUGCGUAGAUAUCUGGAGGAAUACCUGUGGCGAAAGCGGCCUCCUAAACGAAUACUGACACUGAGGUGCGAAAGCGUUGGGGAGCAAACAGGGAUUAGAUACCCGU
This 459-nucleotide ribosomal RNA is filed under the name uncultured bacterium. Its description in RNAcentral is "bacterial SSU rRNA". It matches the Rfam family "Bacterial small subunit ribosomal RNA", at positions 340 to 789 of the family's 1533-position model. The record is from RNAcentral.